Molecule: non-coding RNA, 114 nt
Organism: Microsporum canis CBS 113480
Lineage: Eukaryota; Fungi; Ascomycota; Eurotiomycetes; Onygenales; Arthrodermataceae
Source: the annotation of a RefSeq genome assembly
GCCCGGGUGGUCUAGUUGGUAUGAUUCUCGCUUCGGGUCAACCCUUAGCCCGAGUUUCCCUUUAAGGAAGCUCAUAUUUGCGAGAGGCCCCGCGUUCGAAUCGCGGCUCGGGCC